RNAcentral lists this transfer RNA (69 nucleotides) under Ictidomys tridecemlineatus (thirteen-lined ground squirrel). RNAcentral's name for it is "Spermophilus tridecemlineatus (thirteen-lined ground squirrel) tRNA". It matches the Rfam family "tRNA". Rfam says of the family: Transfer RNA (tRNA) molecules are approximately 80 nucleotides in length. Their secondary structure includes four short double-helical elements and three loops (D, anti-codon, and T loops). Lineage: Eukaryota; Metazoa; Chordata; Mammalia; Rodentia; Sciuridae. The record is from Rfam by way of RNAcentral.
GGGGCUGUAGCUCAGUGGCAGAGCACUUGCCUAGCAUGUGCAAGGCACUGGGUUCAAUCCUCAGCACCA